UACGUAGGUGGCAAGCGUUAUCCGGAAUUAUUGGGCGUAAAGAGCGCGCAGGUGGUUGAUUAAGUCUGAUGUGAAAGCCCACGGCUUAACCGUGGAGGGUCAUUGGAGACUGGUCGACUUGAGUGCAGAAGAGGGAAGUGGAAUUCCAUGUGUAGCGGUGAAAUGCGUAGAGAUAUGGAGGAACACCAGUGGCGAAGGCGGCUUCCUGGUCUGUAACUGACACAGAGGCGCGAAAGCGUGGGGAGCAAACAGGAUUAGA
This 259-nucleotide ribosomal RNA is filed under the name uncultured prokaryote. RNAcentral's name for it is "partial 16S ribosomal RNA". It matches the Rfam family "Bacterial small subunit ribosomal RNA", at positions 524 to 782 of the family's 1533-position model. The record is from RNAcentral.